UCUAGCGGGGCCGCAAGCAGGAAGUCGAACAGCCUUCUUUCUCAAUGCGGAUUACCAUGAGGUGGGACUGACGAAGCUCCUUUUUCACGGGUUUCUUUACUGUUUUCAGGAGUGAUCAAAAUAACCUCUAUAAUAGAAGAAAAGCUGAAGAUUUCAAAAUUUUCUGAAGGGAGCCACAGACAGAGAUGUAAACUCAGGCAGGUUGAGAGCAUAUUAACUUACUUUUUUCACAACAUAUUACCAUGAAUCUUGUCAUUUUUCUGCGUUUAUAGCAAUUAUUCCAGGAAGGUUUUAACAUCCAAACAUUUUCCAUGCUGAUAUCCGUGCAGCAGAGUCGAAGCAGACCUGUCAGAAAACAUCUCUAAGGUGCUAUGAAUCUCAUAACUAGAUACACAUCAUAAGAUAACUAGAGCUUACGGCUCUGUUUGGAUCCAGCCUCACUUGUGAAGACUUCAGAUGACGUAAACACUCACAAAGACAUUAUAUGAUGGCAUCUACAGAUGGACAUACACAACUGCCAAAUGUAACAUAUUGUAAUUACUGCACCAAAGCGCAACCCUACAGAUUUUCAACCCACUUAAUUGUUUAUAUUUGAAAAAAAUAUUCUUUAGCUAAUUUUACUGAUUUAUUUCCAUUUAUUUGUCCACAAUACUCUGCCAAAAUGAUGUUUUGCAUCAUCCAAAUAUUGUUAAUGUACAUAUUACAGACAUUGUAACAACACAAAGUGGGUUGAAAAAGUUUCUAAGUGCAGUAACUACGCAAACACUAAAAUCGAGAAAAAAGUUCUUAAAGUGUUUUACACCAGCCAGUCAAACUUGUUACUGCAAUUUUGGCAAACACAUUUCUCUGAUGGGACAAAAUUAAACCAGGAGACUUUGUCACAAGACAACAGAUCUCACAAAGCCCAUUUCAACCUUUACCUCAAUUUUGACCAAAUGCAUAGUUACUGCGCUUUGGCUUUGUUGGGCAGUAUAGUAGUAUUAUAUUAAUGCUGGAGUGAAAGCAUGGUAACCAUAUAUUUUUAAAUCAUGGUAAAGUUUGUGGUUACUAAAAUGUAGUACUAUAAACCUAUGCUGUUGUAAGAGAAUGUUUAUUCUUUAUUAUUGUUGUGAAACCAUGGUUGAUUUUAUAUUUACCAUGUGUUACUGCAAAUGAUGGUAAAAUCAUGGAGAACUUUGCAUGGGUACAGAAAGGUGUAAACUGGUUGUUUUUAUUUGGAAGUCAUAUUGGUUUUAAUGCAUCUGAUAAAUGUAUAUGCAUUUGAAUAUUUAUUCUGUUUACUGACAAUAAUAAAUUUGCAGUUGCUGAUGUAAA
Non-coding RNA from Misgurnus anguillicaudatus (oriental weatherfish), 1314 nucleotides. Lineage: Eukaryota; Metazoa; Chordata; Actinopteri; Cypriniformes; Cobitidae. The record is from RefSeq and is a predicted model, not a curated record.